AGUGGCAACCCAGCAGAAUGGAAUAGAUAAACCUCUAGGUGCAGUUAGCGUAUGAUACAGUCCCUCUAUCGUGGAUCUCGACAGGAUGGAGAUCAUGGAUAAUCCGUCAAACUCCAUCAUCUGUCAUAUGUAAAAUUUAUUCGACUCUAGUUCGAGAUUGAAAAACUCUUUUUCCAAAAACUACCUUGGCCAAGGAUUUACGAACUCAGUCUCAUAAAUCACAUAGGAUCUCUCCUAAUCUAUCAAGGUCGAUAGAUUCCAUCUAGAUGCACCCCUA
This 277-nucleotide long non-coding RNA is filed under the name Phoenix dactylifera (date palm). RNAcentral's name for it is "long non-coding RNA (PDAC_LNC017153)". The record is from RNAcentral. Lineage: Eukaryota; Viridiplantae; Streptophyta; Magnoliopsida; Arecales; Arecaceae.